UCGGCACCGAUCCGGACCUGAAAUUCUCGACUGCGAUUGGCUCUCGCGAAUUUUGUGCAAAGGAGCCAAUCACGACCGAGAAAUUCGAUCCAGAUCGGGCUUGAUCGCGAUGAAAGGUAUGCCGUGUGACACCCGUAUUACAUCACCCUUGCUAAUAUCCUACCUCUAAAGCAAGGGCGAAGAGCCAUUUCGAGGCGUAGGCGGGCAGAUCAAAGUUGUUUUUUCCACGUCGGCCACGUCCAUACAGGUAUACAGACGGGUACUUGGACUGGUGUGACUGGCGGCAAUGAAGAAUUUCAUAUGCAGUAGUGUCAUCCCUUGGGCCAUAUUCGUGCUUCUUUUGCCCACAAUAGAAAAGAGAAAUUCUUUUUCUGCCAUCGCUGUCGUUUACAUGGGGCCAAGUUCAGGAAGUCGCCACAUAUCUGGUGGUCCCCAUAAUGCAUCCAGUCAUGGGCAAAAUCAUAAGCAUGGGAAAGGUGACACGGAUCAUCAGGGCCGCAGCAGGGUGAAGCGAGCCUUGAAAAAGAUAAAAGAAAACGCUGGGAACAUUUCUAGGACUAUGGCUGUGAUAGUCUAAACACAAAAGAACUCGGAAAUAAAAAUUUUCGAACCAGUGGGGAAA
Long non-coding RNA from Dermacentor andersoni, 622 nucleotides. RefSeq lists it as uncharacterized. The record is from RefSeq and is a predicted model, not a curated record. NCBI's taxonomy places the organism in Eukaryota, Metazoa, Arthropoda, Arachnida, Ixodida, Ixodidae.